AUGAACGCUGGCGGCGUGCUUAACCCCUGCCAGUCGAACGGAAAGGCUCCUGCUUGCAGGGGUACUCGAGUGGCGAACGGGUGAGUAACACGUGGGUGAUCUGCCCUGCACUUCGGGAUAAGCCUGGGAAACUGGGUCUAAUACCGGAUAGGACGAUGGUUUGGAUGCCAUUGUGGAAAGUUUUUCGGUGUGGGAUGAGCUCGCGGCCUAUCAGCUUGUUGGUGGGGUAAUGGCCUACCAAGGCGUCGACGGGUAGCCGGCCUGAGAGGGUGUACGGCCACAUUGGGACUGAGAUACGGCCCAGACUCCUACGGGAGGCAGCAGUGGGGAAUAUUGCACAAUGGGCGCAAGCCUGAUGCAGCGACGCCGCGUGGGGGAUGACGGCCUUCGGGUUGUAAACUCCUUUCGCUAGGGACGAAGCGCAAGUGACGGUACCUGGAGAAGAAGCACCGGCUAACUACGUG
RNAcentral lists this ribosomal RNA (464 nucleotides) under uncultured bacterium. RNAcentral describes it as "partial 16S ribosomal RNA". It matches the Rfam family "Bacterial small subunit ribosomal RNA", at positions 29 to 507 of the family's 1533-position model. The record is from RNAcentral.